ACAAACUUGGUCAUUUAGAGGAAGUAAAAGUCGUAACAAGGUUUCCGUAGGUGAACCUGCGGAAGGAUCAUUACCGAGUUAGGGCGUGCCCUCUGGGUGCCCCGACCUCCCAACCCUAUGUCUAAGUUACCUCAGUUGCUUCGGUGGGCCGGGAUCGACCAACUGGUCGUGACCGCCGGCCUAACACGGCUGGAGAGCCGCCCACCGAUGGCCCUCACAAACUUCUUUAUACCGAAACCUGUCGUCUGAAUAAACUGUGAUUGUAUAAUCAAAAACAAAACUUUCAACAACGGAUCUCUUGGUUCUGGCAUCGAUGAAGAACGCAGC
RNAcentral lists this unclassified non-coding RNA (327 nucleotides) under uncultured fungus. RNAcentral describes it as "partial contains small subunit ribosomal RNA, internal transcribed spacer 1, and 5.8S ribosomal RNA". The stretch from base 1 to 73 matches the Rfam family "Eukaryotic small subunit ribosomal RNA", at positions 1759 to 1831 of the family's 1831-position model. Lineage: Eukaryota; Fungi. The record is from RNAcentral.